This 305-nucleotide ribosomal RNA is filed under the name uncultured bacterium. Its description in RNAcentral is "bacterial SSU rRNA". It matches the Rfam family "Bacterial small subunit ribosomal RNA", at positions 338 to 659 of the family's 1533-position model. The record is from RNAcentral.
CCUACGGGGCGCAGCAGUGGGGAAUAUUGGGCAAUGGGCGCAAGCCUGACCCAGCAACGCCGCGUGAAGGAUGAAGGUUUUCGGAUUGUAAACUUCUGUCGCGAGGGACGAAGAAUGACGGUACCUCGUAAGAAAGCCCCGGCUAACUACGUGCCAGCAGCCGCGGUAAUACGUAGGGGGCAAGCGUUGUCCGGAAUGACUGGGCGUAAAGGGCGUGUAGCCGGGCUGACAAGUCAGAUGUGAAAUCCGGGGGCUCAACCCCCGAACUGCAUUUGAAACUGUUGGUCUUGAGUAUCGGAGAGGCA